This 777-nucleotide unclassified non-coding RNA is filed under the name Hevea brasiliensis (rubber tree). Lineage: Eukaryota; Viridiplantae; Streptophyta; Magnoliopsida; Malpighiales; Euphorbiaceae. The record is from RNAcentral.
AAAUACUGCCUCUCUUUUGACUCCAUAAUUGCUAAGUUUGUUUUCCAGUUCUCCAUUUGUGCUUCACAUGGAGCAAUAUCAUCUUCAAGCUGUGAAAGUGUUCUUUUCAAAUAAGUCAAUCUUGCUAUUGCCUUUCGAGUGUAUUCAAGAAGAACUUUUGAUUCCUGCUGCACUUUAGCUCUCUUCUCUUCUACUGCUGUUUUCCGUAGAGAAAGAUCUGCCACUGCAACAAGAAAACUACUUAAUUCAGUAUCUCUAACAUCCAACAAAUUUGCAACCUUGGCAAGAACAUGUGCAGAUGAAACCACAUUAGAUGGUAAACUCUCUUGGGCCAAUCCCACACUCUCCAGUAUCUCUCUUAUCCUAGCAGCUUGGGACCUGUACUCAGCUGCUUUUUGGCGGUAAUCAUUGGCAACAAUAGCAGAGGCUUGAGUUUUGGCUUGCGAAAGAGUGGCAAUCUUGUGUAAUUCAGCGAUGCUUCGAGGAGUGUACUCAAAAUCAGGGACAUCUUUACCCACAGCGUCAAAUUGUGAAGUAAGCCAAGCUUUCACUUCAGAAAUUCGAUUUGCAUCAAAACCAGUAGUUUUUGAUGAUUCUGCUGUUACUGAAGUAAUUGCAGAAGGAUCAGGUCCCCCCACUAUAUCACUCAUGUCCUUCUUUCUAUUUCUUGUUCCUCCCUUUUGAAUUUUCAGACCCUUCAGCCAAAAUCAGUACACAAACACUUACCAUCAUAAAACUACAAUUCAAAAAGGGAUUUUUGGGUUUUCUCUUCAUGAG